RNAcentral lists this ribosomal RNA (1476 nucleotides) under Triticum aestivum (bread wheat). RNAcentral's name for it is "partial small subunit ribosomal RNA". Lineage: Eukaryota; Viridiplantae; Streptophyta; Magnoliopsida; Poales; Poaceae. The record is from RNAcentral.
AUGUUCAAUGACUGCAUUGCUAACCUUGGUCUCCGCAAAUUAGAUAGGGUUGGUGCCAGGUUCACCUGGACCAACCGUCAGGCUACUCCGACCCAGUCCGUCCUGGACCGGGUCCUAGUUUCCCCAGAUUGGGACCUCCGGUGCUCCCUUGCUUCCCUCUGGGCCAUCACUCGGAUCGGUUCUGACCACGUCCCCCUCCUCCUCUCCUCCGCCGACGAGCGUCCCCCGAUCCCUUCCCGAUUCCGGUUUGAGACAUUUUGGUUGUCCCAAGCUGGCUUCGUCGAGGCCGUGACCGCUCGAUGGGUGGAGGGCCGCGCCCUCUCCCGGUCCUCGUCUUGCCCCCCAUCCACCAUCGACUCGUGGCAUUUUUGUGCCAAGCGUGGCCGGUAGUUCAUGAAGGGCUGGGGCGCCAACUUGGGUCGUGACCUCCGUGAGUGCAAGAAGGCUCUUCUGUCUGUUAUUCAGGCCCUAGACCUGCGCACGGACACCUCCGGCCUCUCUCCUGGGGAAUGGCUGUCCCGGUACGACCUGGAAGACCAACUCUCGAUUAUCUACUCCGAUGAGGAGGCCUACUGGCAUGUGCGCAGGGAUAAAAAAUGGGUAUUGAAGGGUGAUGCGAACACGGCGUAUUUUCAGGCCAUCGCGAAUGGCCGCCGUAUACGCAACACCAUCCUCCUCCUCUGGGAUGGGCCUUCCCUACUGUAGUCCCCGCGGGACAUUAGGUCCCAUGUUGACGGCUUCUAUAGAUCUCUGUUCGCUGCCGUUCCUCGGAGCGGCUUAUCCCUGGCCCCAGAUUGUUGGUCCAGCCGCCAGCUUGUCAUGGAUGAGGAGAACGCGGCCCUCACGGCCCCCUUCUCCGAGGGCGAGGUUUGGGCCGCCAUCAAAGGCAUGAACCCUACCUCUGCCCCGGGCCCGGAUGGCCUGCCGGUUAAGUUCUUCCAAACCUUCUGGAAUGUGCUCAAACCGGAGGUCAUGGCCAUCUUCGAUGAGUUCUAUGUCGGGCCCAUUGAUCUCGGACGCCUUAACUACGGAACGAUCUCGCUUAUCCCCAAGGUCCCUGGGGCGUCGGACAUCCGUCAGUUCCGGCCGAUCACGGUCAUAAACGUGAUCUUCCGUAUUCUGGUGAAAGGGUACGCCAAUAGGGUGACCCUGCUCGCAGACCACAUUACCCACCCCAACCAAUCGGUCUUCAUCCAAGGACGAUAUAUUCUGGAUGGGGUGCUAGUCCUCCACGAGGUUCUCCAUGAGGUCCGCCCCAAACAUCUCAAGGCGGUCUUCCCGAAGAUCGAUUUCCAUAAGGCCUAUGACACCGUUAGCUGGUGUAACGCCCCGAGACCGACGCUCCAGAAGACUUCCAGCUAUUCCGAGUUUCGUCGUGUGAUUUGUUUUAUUUGUUGCAUUCAUCCUUGCAUCAUGUGCAUUGCAUCAUGUCAUCAUGCCAUCAUAUCAUUAAUUUUUAAAACCUCAACUAAAUAA